Brassica rapa (field mustard) is the source of this 447-nucleotide long non-coding RNA. RefSeq lists it as uncharacterized. The record is from RefSeq and is a predicted model, not a curated record. Lineage: Eukaryota; Viridiplantae; Streptophyta; Magnoliopsida; Brassicales; Brassicaceae.
CAAAAGAUAGUUUUGAGAGAAAAGAAAAACAGAGUGACGACGCCGUUAGAUGCGCGGAGAAGAAAAACUCACCGUGUACGGAGCAGAAACCCGAGAAGAAGAUUCGGAUCUCUCCAUCGAGGCGUUGAUAAAAUCGAUCAAACCAGAAGAAGGUUGAAGAAAAAAAGAUAGUGGAGAGCUUUUUCUGAUAAAAUAGUGGUCAGAGUCUUUUGAAAAACGCUCAUCAUGCGAUGCAAUGUAAGAGGUAACGCCUCGUGCUGGGACCCACAAAUAUCAAUAUUCUAACAACCGUUUAUGGAGCAACUGGAUUAUAAUUUUUAUGUGAUUAAUUAUUUUAAUAGAAUGGAAGUCAUUCUACCAAUCUCAAAAAUAAUUAAAUAAAAUACAAAGAAAAACUAUUCUUUGACAAAUUUGUUAAUGAAUAAAUAAAAUAAAUAUUAUUAUACU